Molecule: ribosomal RNA, 505 nt
Filed under: Pythium insidiosum
Lineage: Eukaryota; Oomycota; Peronosporomycetes; Pythiales; Pythiaceae
Description: SSU rRNA
Rfam family: Eukaryotic small subunit ribosomal RNA
Source: RNAcentral
AAUCCCUUAUCGAGGAUCAAUUGGAGGGCAAGUCUGGUGCCAGCAGCCGCGGUAAUUCCAGCUCCAAUAGCGUAUAUUAAAGUUGUUGCAGUUAAAAAGCUCGUAGUUGGAUUUCUGUUUUGAGCGUCCGGCCCGCUCUUUGAGUGUGUUGCUAGGAUGUUUGAGACAUUUUUUGUGAGGAUGUCCUUCUGCCAUUAAGUUGGUGGUUGGAUAGACUUGCAUCGUUUACUGUGAAAAAAUUAGAGUGUUUAAAGCAGGCGUUUGCUCAUUGAAUACAUUAGCAUGGAAUAAUAAGAUACGACCUUGGUGGUCUAUUUUGUUGGUUUGCACACCAGGGUAAUGAUUAAUAGGGACAGUUGGGGGUAUUCAUAUUCCAGCGUCAGAGGUGAAAUUCUUGGAUCGCUGGAAGAUGAGCUUAGGCGAAAGCAUUUACCAAGGAUGUUUUCAUUAAUCAAGAACGAAAGUUAGGGGAUCGAAGAUGAUUAGAUACCAUCGUAGUCUUAAC